Pan paniscus (pygmy chimpanzee) is the source of this 1431-nucleotide long non-coding RNA. The record is from Ensembl. Lineage: Eukaryota; Metazoa; Chordata; Mammalia; Primates; Hominidae.
GAAAAUGCCCAUGGCUUUAUCAUACAUAAGUUCCCAAAUUUAGUGGAUAAAGAAUCCCCUAGAGGAAUAAAUACUUAUUUAUUCAGUUCUCAUUUAUCAUGUCCCAGGGAUAGGAACUACAAAAAGCUGGUAUGGGGAGGAAUAAUUCAGUUAGUAAUGUGGCCAGGCACAGCAGCAGCCCAAGGGGAAGAUUGUCCAUUUACAUUUCCACACCAAGGGCCAGGAAAGCCUUCUGGGUGAGCUGACUCCUACUACUGUCCCUGGCCACUGCAAAAUCACCCAAAUGAAAGGUCAUUAUGUAGAGGGGAAAACUGAUUGGAAAAGAUAAUUAAUUACAACAAUUGCUGCUCUAGUUGCUUACCUUCUUACCAGGAAUCCCAUUCAGAAAUUUAUUUCCAAAAUUGAUCCCAAGUUGAACUGUGGGCUUUUUCGCUGCACUCUAAAUUCAAACUUGAAAACAUCUGCGUAUUUAGUUGGCCUGUUGAGGGCAAGAUCGUACUAUCACACGUGAAGGAAGUUAUCAUGUAUCAUAAACAACUUAAUUUAGAUCUGAAGAGUGAGCUCAAAGGAGAACUAGUGAAUCAACUUUGCUUCCUACUUGAAAGCUCCUUUCUAAGACCCUGGAGACUUAUGUGGAACAGGUUAUUAUACUUCUCCUACUAAUCAGAACUCUCGCUCCCCUGGCAACCCGCAUACUCUGUUUCCCCCAUGCCAGCAUUCCUAAAUCUCUCCUGCACCCCUCCCCCAAUUCAAAGAUUUAUUUCACUACUGCGACAGCCUAUGGGCACAUUACAUACUUUAAAACAACACAUUAAUCUGUAACUUUCCACCCCAGACAGCAGACACCGCCAUCCUUCUUGAUAACCACCUCUGGCGAUCGCAAAGAAAGCAUUCCUGAUUUCGGUUACAGUCAAGAAAUUGCAGGGGAUGACGUGUCUUCCACCAGUCUCCACACUUACAUUUAGGCAAACUGCCAGCCUGGCACUAUGUGGAGCCCUGGGAAGUGACAGUAAGAAAAAGAAUCAUAGCUCUGCCCAUCAAAACCAUAAAAGCUUUCAUCAAGGAAGACAACCAGGUGUACUAGUGAAUGCUAUUCAAGGUCUAUCCAACAACAAUCAUCUAAGUUUUCUUCUGUCCUAACAGAGUCCUAAUUUUUCUCAAUCAAUGUACCCUUCAUGUCAAUCAUGUCAUUUUCUACAUCUAGGUGGAGCGUCGAUAUUCAUCAAUUUAUAUGUUGAAUGUUUUCUUGAGUUCGUAAUACAUUUCUAAAUGACAAUUUUUGUGUAGGCUAUGAUUACAAUUUUAACACCUGGAGGCAAAGGUAUUAUGAUAUAGUGAAAAAGAGGGAAUUGGAAACGCCUCCUCUGCCUCAGGAGAAUUUUUAGUUAGACUGCACACCCCAAAAGGUGUAUAACUCACAAAAAGCUUAUU